RNAcentral lists this ribosomal RNA (328 nucleotides) under Corynebacterium matruchotii. Its description in RNAcentral is "bacterial SSU rRNA". It matches the Rfam family "Bacterial small subunit ribosomal RNA", at positions 159 to 474 of the family's 1533-position model. Lineage: Bacteria; Bacillati; Actinomycetota; Actinomycetes; Mycobacteriales; Corynebacteriaceae. The record is from RNAcentral.
GGGUCUAAUACCCGGAUAGGACCCAUGGGUUUAGUGUCCUCAUGGUGGAAAAGAUUAUUGUUUUGGUGCAGGAUGAGCUCGCGGCCUAUCAGCUUGUUGGUGGGGUAAUGGCCUACCAAGGCGUCGACGGGUAGCCCGGCCUGAGAGGGUGGACGGCCACAUUGGGACUGAGAUACGGCCCAGACUCCCUACGGGAGGCAGCGGUGGGGAAUAUUGCACAAUGGGCGCAAGCCUGAUGCAGCGACGCCGCGUGGGGGAUGACCGGGCUUCGGGUUGUAAACUCCUUUCAUUAGGGACGAAGCCGCACCUUUUUUUGGGUGUGGUGACA